AGAGUUUGAUCAUGGCUCAGGACGAACGCUGGCGGCGUGCUUAACACAUGCAAGUCGAGCGGAAAGGCCCUUCGGGGUACUCGAGCGGCGAACGGGUGAGUAACACGUGAGCAACCUGCCCCUGGGCUCUGGGAUAGCUCCGGGAAACCGGGAUUAAUACCGGGUAGGACCUGCUGCUGCAGUGGCGGCGGGUGGAAAGU
This 200-nucleotide ribosomal RNA is filed under the name uncultured bacterium. RNAcentral describes it as "partial 16S ribosomal RNA". It matches the Rfam family "Bacterial small subunit ribosomal RNA", at positions 8 to 208 of the family's 1533-position model. The record is from RNAcentral.